GUAACACGUAGUCAACAUGCCCAGGGGACGUGGAUAACCUCGGGAAACUGAGAUUAAACCGCGAUAGGUCAAGAUUUCUGGAAUGGAUCGUGUCUUAAAUCUACAUGGCCCCUGGAUUGGACUGCGGCCGAUCAGGCUGUUGGUGAGGUAAUGGCCCACCAAACCUAUAACCGGUACGGGCUCUGAGAGGAGAAGCCCGGAGAUGGGCACCGAGACAAGGGCCCAGGCCCUAUGGGGCGCAGCAGGCGCGAAACCUCUGCAAUGGGCGAAAGCCUGACAGGGUUACUCUGAGUGAUUUCCGCUAAGGAGAUCUUUUGGCAGCUCUAAAAAUGGUGCAGAAUAAGGGGUGGGCAAGUCUGGUGUCAGCCGCCGCGGUAAUACCAGCACCCCGAGUGGUCGGGACGAUUAUUGGGCCUAAAGCAUCCGUAGCCGGUCGUGCAAGUCCUCCGUUAAAUCCAGCCGCUCAACGGAUGGGCUGCGGAGGAUACUACAGGACU
This 497-nucleotide ribosomal RNA is filed under the name uncultured archaeon. RNAcentral describes it as "bacterial SSU rRNA". It matches the Rfam family "Archaeal small subunit ribosomal RNA", at positions 93 to 593 of the family's 1478-position model. The record is from RNAcentral.